GACGAACGCUGGCGGCGUGCUUAACACAUGCAAGUCGAACGGUGAAGCGCCUUCCUUUUUGGUGGGUGUGGAUGAGUGGCGAACGGGUGAGUAACACGUGAGUAACCUGCCCCCUUCUUCUGGAUAACCGCAUGAAAGUGUGGCUAAUACGGGAUAUUCUGGGUCUGUCGCAUGAUGGGUCUGGGAAAGAUAUUGUUUCGGUGGGGGAUGGGCUCGCGGCCUAUCAGCUUGUUGGUGGGGUGAUGGCCUACCAAGGCGGUGACGGGUAGCCGGCCUGAGAGGGUGGACGGUCACACUGGGACUGAGACACGGCCCGGACUCCUACGGGAGGCAGCAGUGGGGAAUAUUGCACAAUGGGCGAAAGCCUGAUGCAGCGACGCCGCGUGAGGGAUGGAGGCCUGCGGGUUGUGAACCUCUUUCGCCAGUGAAGCAGGCCUGCCUCGUUUGUGGGUGGGUUGACGGUAGCUGGAUAAGAAGCGCCGGCUAACUACGUG
This 494-nucleotide ribosomal RNA is filed under the name uncultured bacterium. RNAcentral describes it as "partial 16S ribosomal RNA". It matches the Rfam family "Bacterial small subunit ribosomal RNA", at positions 28 to 507 of the family's 1533-position model. The record is from RNAcentral.